Cannabis sativa is the source of this 1447-nucleotide long non-coding RNA. RefSeq lists it as uncharacterized. Lineage: Eukaryota; Viridiplantae; Streptophyta; Magnoliopsida; Rosales; Cannabaceae. The transcript is spliced from 4 exons. The record is from RefSeq and is a predicted model, not a curated record.
CUUUAACGUUUUUCUCAGUCAAACCUCAAAUGAGGGGAAAUCGGAUCGAAUUUAGAAAAAUCAUGAAUCAAUUAUGCAGCCAUUUUUCUUCUUCUCUCUAUGGAGCAAAGACAUGAAUCCUACCCAUCCCAAUUCGUCGAGUGUCCAUAAAGAGGGAGAACCCAUAGCCAUGGUUUUACAUCAGAGCUCAAUUUUCAUUUUUCUAAUUUGAAUGUGGAUCUUAAUCUAGAAAAGCACUACCCAAUUUCCCUCGCAACGAUGACUACUCGUCGUGGUCCUUGAUAAGAUUCCGCAAGGCUCUGAGACCCAAUUGACAAGUCUGCAACCUCCAAUUCAUCAAUGUUCAAUGCAAACACGUCAAACAAUGUAGGCGGUGACGAGUUGGGGGAGCUUCCUUUUUAUUAGGUGGAUUUGACAUUGCCCAUAAAUUUUUUCUUGUUUGCACAAGAUUAUUUGCUGUCUCAUUAAGUAUUUGAUUGACUUGAGUUUCUGCAUUUGUGUUGCUUUUAUUUAUGUUUGGUAAAUUCCUAGAUUUCCUUUUUUUUGAGCUAGCUACCUUACUGUUUUAUGAAUUCUAAUAAGAUCUUUUAUUGAUUUCUUGAUAUUUGUGAAGAAAGGCCUUCACUUCAUCUUUAAGAAGGAUUCUUCAUCUUUGUUACAACCAAGAAUACCACACCAAAAGUCAGAGAGUGAAGAUUAUAGCAUGUACUCAAGGGGGGCUUUCUUAAUUACAAGGUGAAGAUAAAGUAACUACCAUCCUCUUCUACCUUGCAUUAUCUUUCUUCUUCUCAAGUUUGAUGUAAAGCAGUCCACCUCAAUCUUCAAGUAAAAUGUUAAGCACACAUGAGAAAUCAACUUGAAGAAGAGUCUGCCUCUGCCACCAACACCUUGCAGCAAAGAGGCACCUGCCAAGGCUGGCAUGCAACUCCUGCAGAUGUAUAUUACAAUUACAAUGCCCUCACUCUCAAAUAGGAAAGGUAGUUUCUAAACUCAUAACUAUGCUGCAAGUAAUCUUACUAUUUUUUAUUCUAAGAUGAUUGGAUUCUGUUAUAUUAUCUACCAUAUAUGGACCACAUUCUAUUGUUUACAUUUCUGAAGUUAUACUCUGAUAUACUUUCAAUAAGUCACAACUUCACAUAAAUUAUUUGCAAAGCAAACUAUUCCUCAUUAUCAUUUGGCAGUAAAUUCAUGUGUUAUUAAACUUAUGGAGUAAGCAAGGUUAUUUGUAUUAGCUUUAAUCUUCAAAAAUUAAGCUGUAAUUAAAUGCCUUCUGCUUAAUAAUUGUAAUUUUUCUUGCAGUUACUUGGCAGCUCAAUGCAUUAUAAGAAGCAUCAAGUGGGAAGUAAAUAUUUGUUCAUGACCUUGUACUAAAGUUAUUGAAUUUUUUCUUUUCUUUUUGUGACAUUAGAUUUUAGGCAACUAAUUAAUGAAUGAAUUUUUUCUCUAA